GGAACUGAACACAGAAGCAGUUGCAGGAAGCAGUUGGUGAACUCUGGAAGAGUGAAGCUGCUUUUCUCUGGCAGUCAAGAGAGACCAGGGUUGAUAUCUGUUAUUUCUGGGGAGGACCCAGAGAGCCAAUGGUCCCUUUUACUUUGGGCUUCUUUGUUUCCUGCCUGUCCUUGAAACUGGAGCUGCUGCUACUGCUGUGGAGAAGAUUUCAUCUUAGCUGUUACUGGGAUUGCUGCUUGACACAAAGGAGGAUUCUGAUUACUCUCCUCCAUGAACACUGGAUACAAUUAAAAAGGUGGCACAGUGAAUAUACAUCUGGAUAUAAGAAUCAGCAAAAUUUGGAUUCAAAAUUAGCCUUCAGUAUCAACUAGCUGAGUGACCAGGAGGCAAAUGACCUGGAUAGACCUUGCUUAAGAAUUUCCCUUGGAAGCUGUGCAGAAAAAAAUAUAUUGGAGAGAGUAGAGACUAGAUACAGAGAGACCAACUCGGAAUCUAUUACAACAGUCCAGAACUGAGGUGAUGAAG
This 525-nucleotide long non-coding RNA is filed under the name Monodelphis domestica (gray short-tailed opossum). Its description in RNAcentral is "lncRNA (ENSMODG00000032246.2)". The record is from RNAcentral. Lineage: Eukaryota; Metazoa; Chordata; Mammalia; Didelphimorphia; Didelphidae.